This 548-nucleotide ribosomal RNA is filed under the name uncultured bacterium. Its description in RNAcentral is "bacterial SSU rRNA". It matches the Rfam family "Bacterial small subunit ribosomal RNA", at positions 356 to 896 of the family's 1533-position model. The record is from RNAcentral.
GGGGAAUUUUGGACAAUGGGCGCAAGCCUGAUCCAGCCAUGCCGCGUGUCUGAAGAAGGCCUUCGGGUUGUAAAGGACUUUUGUCAGGGAAGAAAAGGCUGUUGCUAAUACCGACAGCUGAUGACGGUACCUGAAGAAUAAGCACCGGCUAACUACGUGCCAGCAGCCGCGGUAAUACGUAGGGUGCGAGCGUUAAUCGGAAUUACUGGGCGUAAAGCGAGCGCAGACGGUUACUUAAGCAGGAUGUGAAAUCCCCGGGCUCAACCUGGGAACUGCGUUCUGAACUGGGUGACUAGAGUGUGUCAGAGGGAGGUAGAAUUCCACGUGUAGCAGUGAAAUGCGUAGAGAUGUGGAGGAAUACCGAUGGCGAAGGCAGCCUCCUGGGAUAACACUGACGUUCAUGCUCGAAAGCGUGGGUAGCAAACAGGAUUAGAUACCCUGGUAGUCCACGCCCUAAACGAUGUCAAUUAGCUGUUGGGCAACUUGAUUGCUUAGUAGCGUAGCUAACGCGUGAAAUUGACCGCCUGGGAAGUACGGUCGCAAGAUUA